AAAACUACUUUCCAUGCUGGGAUCCUCUUCUAGAGAAUUCUGAAUGUGCUCUCCUGUGAAUUAAAGGCAUAUGGACAUCUGAUUGACUGAGUGCAUGUUAUCAGCCAAUCAGAAGUAUUCACUAAUUAACAAGAGUGCUCAUUUGUAGUGAAUAAAGCUGCAGGCAACAGUGACUUCAGAGAUUUCCUGAAAAAGAAGAAGAGUGACUCUUGACAAGGAAUGAGGUGCUCUUAAGGACAUAGCUCUAAGCAGUUUUAUGAAGAUGAUGUGGACUUCUCUGGAAAGGUUUAUUGGAGCACCAGAAGAUUAACUUGAAGCAGAAUGAUUGUAAAAGAACAUUUUGCUGUGUUGGCAGAAAUCUAAGAAAAUUCUUACAACUUUGUUGAAAAAUCAAAUAAAUAAAUUUGCUUUCAACAUAA
Molecule: long non-coding RNA, 419 nt
Organism: Bombina bombina (fire-bellied toad)
Lineage: Eukaryota; Metazoa; Chordata; Amphibia; Anura; Bombinatoridae
Exons: 2
Source: RefSeq, a predicted model, not a curated record